Molecule: non-coding RNA, 76 nt
Filed under: Cetobacterium somerae
Lineage: Bacteria; Fusobacteriati; Fusobacteriota; Fusobacteriia; Fusobacteriales; Fusobacteriaceae
Also listed under: 1 other name
Description: c-di-GMP sequence
Rfam family: c-di-GMP-I riboswitch aptamer
About the family: GEMM was predicted in a large-scale screen for bacterial structured RNA regulatory elements. Genes associated with GEMM are involved in a diverse array of functions, including chemotaxis regulation, signal transduction, secretion and chitin.
Source: RNAcentral
AAUAAAAUAUGGCAAACUCAAAGAAAUUUGAGGACGCAAAGCUAUAGGGCCUGUAAAAUGGUAGCCAGUUGCACAA